This 254-nucleotide ribosomal RNA is filed under the name uncultured bacterium. RNAcentral's name for it is "partial 16S ribosomal RNA". It matches the Rfam family "Bacterial small subunit ribosomal RNA", at positions 524 to 776 of the family's 1533-position model. The record is from RNAcentral.
UACGUAGGGUGCGAGCGUUGUCCGGAAUUAUUGGGCGUAAAGAGCUCGUAGGCGGUGUGUCGCGUCGGCCGUGAAAACCCGCAGCUUAACUGUGGGCUUGCGGUCGAUACGGGCAUCACUGGAGUUCGGCAGGGGAGACUGGAAUUCCUGGUGUAGCGGUGAAAUGCGCAGAUAUCAGGAGGAACACCGGUGGCGAAGGCGGGUCUCUGGGCCGAUACUGACGCUGAGGAGCGAAAGCGUGGGGAGCGAACAGG